This 75-nucleotide transfer RNA is filed under the name Casaltella massiliensis. RNAcentral describes it as "tRNA-Gln". It matches the Rfam family "tRNA". Rfam says of the family: Transfer RNA (tRNA) molecules are approximately 80 nucleotides in length. Their secondary structure includes four short double-helical elements and three loops (D, anti-codon, and T loops). Further hydrogen bonds mediate the characteristic L-shaped molecular structure. tRNAs have two regions of fundamental functional importance: the anti-codon, which is responsible for specific mRNA codon recognition, and the 3' end, to which the tRNAs corresponding amino acid is attached (by aminoacyl-tRNA synthetases). tRNAs cope with the degeneracy of the genetic code in two manners: having more than one tRNA (with a specific anti-codon) for a particular amino acid; and 'wobble' base-pairing, i.e. permitting non-standard base-pairing at the 3rd anti-codon position. The record is from RNAcentral. RNAcentral also lists the same sequence under 6 other names. Lineage: Bacteria; Bacillati; Bacillota; Clostridia; Peptostreptococcales; Anaerovoracaceae.
UGGGGUAUCGCCAAGCGGUAAGGCACUGGGUUUUGAUCCCAGCAUUCGUAAGUUCGAAUCUUGCUACCCCAGCCA